Ahaetulla prasina is the source of this 750-nucleotide long non-coding RNA. RefSeq lists it as uncharacterized. The transcript is spliced from 3 exons. The record is from RefSeq and is a predicted model, not a curated record. Lineage: Eukaryota; Metazoa; Chordata; Lepidosauria; Squamata; Colubridae.
GAAAUCUGUGCCGUUGAAGACAGACAACACUUUCAUCAUUCUUCUGUCAUUCAUUAGAGCAAGGAAGUUUGUGAAGUUGAAAACAGACAACACAGUCAUCGUUCUUCUGUAAGUAGUUGUCAUUCAUUAGGGCACGGACCAUGGUCAGUGACAUUGAAGACAGACAACACUCAUCGUUCUUCUGUAAGUAUUUGUGCAGAUCAUUCAUUAGGGCACAGUGGUCAGUGCUUUUGAAGACAGAUAACACUGUCAUCAUUCUUCUGUAAGUAUUUGUGUGUAACUCUUUCAGAGUGUUAGUCUUAUGUAAGGUGUAAGUGCAUGCAAUUAAAAACUUCCUUUCUGUAUCUCUUCUUUGUGCAGGUCAUUCAUUAGACCAAGGAAGUCUGUGCUAUUGAAUACAGACAACACUUUCAUCAUUCUUUUGUCAUUCAUUAGGGCAAAGAACUCAUGCCCACUGAGUCACAUGACCAGGAAGCCACACCCGCUGAGUCACAUGACCAGGAAGCCAUGCCCGCCCAGUCACAUGACCAGGAAGCCAUGCCCGCCCAGUCACAUGACCAGGAAGUCAUGCCAACCUAGUCACAUGUCCACAGAACCGGUAAUAAAAAAUUUUGGAACCCACCCCUGAAUGGAUUGUAUUAAGAAAUACAAGGUUAUUGACUUUGGAGGGGCACAAUCUACAAUUAGGUUGGCAUGCUUUUUUAUGGUACGGGAAAAAUAAGAUGCAUAGCUAUUUUCAAAGACAUUAUG